UAAUAAGAACACACCUGCAUGAGAUGGCAUCAAUAACUGACUUCUUCCAUGUAAAAGAAAUGAAUAUACAUGGUCAUCAAUGUAAAGAUUCUCUUUUAAAGGCACAAUAUGGUACUAGGAGCAUCUAUUAUGAAUGAAAACGGAAGGGGCGGCAAUAAAUAACAUUACAGUCUUUUAAUUAUCAGUAAACAUAUCAUAUAAAGGGCUGUCAUUCCCAUUUGCUCUCAUUAGUCAUUUAUGAACUAAUAUCCGAUGGCAUCACCUGCCUGAAAAAGGAACUAUCCUCCUGCAUUGAUGCAUCA
This 302-nucleotide long non-coding RNA is filed under the name Phoenix dactylifera (date palm). RNAcentral describes it as "long non-coding RNA (PDAC_LNC022542)". The record is from RNAcentral. Lineage: Eukaryota; Viridiplantae; Streptophyta; Magnoliopsida; Arecales; Arecaceae.